Molecule: long non-coding RNA, 413 nt
Filed under: Pan troglodytes (chimpanzee)
Lineage: Eukaryota; Metazoa; Chordata; Mammalia; Primates; Hominidae
Description: long non-coding RNA NONPTRT012170
Source: RNAcentral
AUAUCUAUCAAUCAAGAAAGACACAAUACCUGUGCAAAGUUCAAGAAAAAUAGUUGUUUGUGAUUUAGGUCAAGUCCAGGAAGUAAUUUUUCUUCGCCAUUCUCUCUGGCUCUCUAAAAUGGGGAUUAAGUAUUUUCUCUCUAUUGUUCUCUACUUUCUUUCCACUUGUGAAUGAAAUUUGUCAUAGAUUGAACUAUCACCUCUUUACAACAAAAUGGUGAAAAUUGAAUUAAGAAGUAGAAAUUAUUGAUAUGAGUAAGUCUCUAUAUAACAAAACAAGUUCUUUUUUUAACAUAACAACAUAAAAUGACCAAUCCCGUGAGAAAGUGUAUGCAGUCUAAUUUGGAGUAUUUGUAUGUCUAUGUGUGUGUAUGGAGGGAGGGGCUCACUUACGUGGCACAUAUUACUCUAUA